Molecule: ribosomal RNA, 451 nt
Filed under: uncultured bacterium
Lineage: Bacteria
Description: partial 16S ribosomal RNA
Rfam family: Bacterial small subunit ribosomal RNA
Source: RNAcentral
GAUGAACGCUGGCGGCGUGCCUAACACAUGCAAGUCGAGCGGCAGCGAGGGGUGCUUGCACCCUGUCGGCGAGCGGCGGACGGCUGAGUAACGCGUGGGAACGUGCCCCAAAGUGAGGAAUAACUGCCCGAAAGGGUAGCUAAUACCGCAUAUUAUCUUCGGAUCAAAGGAUUUAUCCGCUUUGGGAGCGGCUCGCGUCGGAUUAGGUAGUUGGUGAGGUAAUGGCUCACCAAGCCGACGAUCCGUAGCUGGUCUGAGAGGAUGACCAGCCAGACUGGAACUGAGACACGGUCCAGACUCCUACGGGAGGGAGCAGUGAGGAAUAUUCCACAAGGGGCGAAAGCCUGAUGGAGCAACGCCGCGUGCAGGACGAAGGCCGUCGGGUUGUAAACUGCUUUUAUAAGUGAGGAAUAUGACGGUAACUUAUGAAUAAGGAUCGGCUAACUACGUG